CCUACGGGCGGCAGCAGUGGGGGAUAUUGCACAAUGGGGGAAACCCUGAUGCAGCGACGCCGCGUGUGGGAAGACGGUCCUCUGGAUUGUAAACCACUGUCCCCAGGGACGAAGAUGACGGUACCUGGGGAGGAAGCUCCGGCUAACUACGUGCCAGCAGCCGCGGUAAUACGUAGGGAGCAAGCGUUGUCCGGAUUUACUGGGUGUAAAGGGUGCGUAGGCGGCCCUGCAAGUCAGAAGUGAAAUCCAUGGGCUUAACCCGUGAACUGCUUUUGAAACUGUAGGGCUUGAGUGAAGUAGAGGCAGGCGGAAUUCCCGGUGUAGCGGUGAAAUGCGUAGAGAUCGGGAGGAACACCAGUGGCGAAGGCGGCCUGCUGGGCUUUAACUGACGCUGAAGCACGAAAGCGUGGGUAGCAAACAGGAUUAGAUACCCCUGUAGUC
Molecule: ribosomal RNA, 441 nt
Filed under: uncultured bacterium
Lineage: Bacteria
Description: partial 16S ribosomal RNA
Rfam family: Bacterial small subunit ribosomal RNA
Source: RNAcentral